CAGGGCUCUCACCCACAACUUCCUCCUGCACAGCUGGCAGAUAUAGGGAACAUGGACCCAACCAUCCUGCUGGCCAGAGGAGCGCCCCUGGGCUUGAGAAGACCAGUACAAAAUGAGGUAAGUGCCUCUCUCCAGGGGCCCAGCAGAAUGAGAGUGAAUUGCUAACUCAGGUGUUUAAAGACCCACACAUCACCUGAGCAUCCCCAAGUGUCGAACACACUAUGUUUGAAUUUUCUGCAUGACUCUUCUUCACUUUCUUCAGAAAACCUGGGGGAAACUGAAGACUUUAUGGAAGAUUCUUCUCAGUUCUGUGGAGAAGAAGGGUGAGGCUAGGGAUAAGUGGAGGGCCAGAGGCAAUGUGAACUUCCAUUUCUGCCCUGGAGUGACAGCACUAAGGUACUUCCCAUAUUACAAGAAUCUGAUUUAUUGAUAACACCAAGGGCUUCAAUCAGAAUUCCACCUGUGUGAGUGACUUAGGUUUAUUUGACCAGGAAUCCUUUCCUUUCCUGUGCUUUAGGGCAAGCACACAGGCAAAAUCCACUGUGCAUUGUUCUUGUACAUCUAAAGUACGGGUAUUGGAGCUGCUUCUUUUGUGUCUGUCUAACUUGUAUUGUUUCCUCAAUGGCUCUAGAAAUAGCUGACCACCUGUACAGAAAUAAUACUGGUCUCCAAGCCUCAGCCAUUGUUUUUAAAAGAGUCCACAACUUGGUGGAGAAUUUACCUAGAGAUUUGCUCUCCAGCCUUGGUUGGUGGUAAACACAAAUAAUAGAUGCAUGAAGAAGGAACUUUCCAGAUUUUCCUGGGUUUUUUUCCUUCUACCUGGGUUUCUAAGAGAAGAUGCUGCUUUGCCCUCUGUUGUCAAGAACCUUCUAUUUUAAAAGUUCCACGUGCUUUUAAAAUGACAUGACUCAGAAAUAUGAUACUGACUUCCUUUGUCUUCACCUAGACUAUAACAGCCUAAAAAAAAAUCAAAUCAAUGCAUUUAACACAUCUAUUUCAUAUGACAGUAAAUGUGGGUUUGGAAUAAAAGUGCAUCUUAUGUAUUUUUUUAAAGAAAUCUUUUUUUGGGGGGCGGGGGUUACUAAUAGGUUUUGCAGGAAGGAGGCAAUUCACAGUCCCUAAAGCACUCUCUCUCUUCUUGGCCCUGUGGGGUUGGCCUUUGAAUAGUCUUAGCUCCCAGGAAUAAAAUACUGAAGCAUAGAUAAGCGGAAAUCUGACCUGAGAAAGAAUAGCAGCUCUGCAGCAUUCCUGGCACUUGUGAGUCUAAUGUGUCUUGCUGGGAGGUUUAGUGUGCACAGAUACUUACAGGUGACAAUUUUGCUGAAACCAAGCCCUGCUUGUUUCUCAUACUCACAGUUCAAAGAGAAAACUGCGUUGAGAAUUGACCACAGCAGCUAGAAAUGCCCACAGAUUCAGUCUCACUUAGUUUCCUAGACAGCCAUUAGGAACAGCUUUAGUUUCAAUAGCCAUUGAGGAAUGCCUCACACUCAACCCCCCUGAAGGAGAUCUCAGGAAGUAAGGCACUCAGAGAGACAGUGGGCGAUUCGUAGGAUGAGAUCAGAGGCCUUGAGACGCUGAGAUCCUGCAGGACCUUAGCUAAGCUGUGGACAACUCUGUUGGCAUUUGAAUAAGUCACCCUGGUUGAUAUCCAACAUCUUUUCCUUAAGCAUUAUUUUCCCCCACAGGAAAAAACAGGUGUUAUUAUUUCCCAACCAUCUUAUGAACUCUGUGUGUGUGUGUGUGUGUGUGUGUCUGUUGGGACUUGAACCCAAGGCUUUGUGCAAUGCUAGGCAAGCAUUUCACCACUGAGCUAUUUCCCAGCCCCUCUAUUGGAUAUUACCCAGUAUACUUUAAUUUCAAUUGUUAAAUUUGAAAUAUAACUAUUAAAUAUAACUAUUUAAUCUGCAGAAUAAGAGACUGUGUGAAUAUAUAUAUGUAUAUAUGUGCAUAUAUAUGCAUAUACAUAUAUAUGAACAAGAGUAGCCCCUGGCAUUAAUCUGAGGACCCUCUCUCAGCAGCACCAACAUUUCAUGUUUGUGGCAGACUAGUAGGGUAUUUAAGUAAGGUGGAUCACAGCUUCUAAAUACCAGAAAAGAAUUUGGCAAGAAGAAAUUUUUAUUAGAGAAUCCAGAAGGGAAAAAAAAAGACUUAACAUUUUAAAAAAUCUAAGCAGGUACCGUGGAACACAUCUAUAAUCCCAGGUACUUGGGAGGCUGAGGCAGGAGGAUAGAAAGUGCUAGGCCAGCCUAGGCACCAUAGCAAGACUCUGAUUCAAAAUGAAAAAUAAAAGGGGCUGGGGAUGUAACCAGUGGUAGAGUACCCCUGGGUUCAAUUCUUCUCCCAGAACAAAUUUAAAAUUAUAAUUAUUUUUCUCAUUACAAAAGUAUUACAUAAAUUGCAAAAAUUAAUAAAUGCAGAGACGUGUAACCAUAAUUCUUCUACCCGAAGGUAGCUGCGAUUAACAUUUGAUGUUUUUGCUUCAGGGUAUAUACACUUUUCACAGCAAGGGGCUCAUGCCGUGUAUGUUGCUUUGUAAAUUACUUCUUUAUUCGAUAACAAAUCUUGAAUUUCUUUCCAAGUCAAAACCAUUUUUCUACAACAACAAUUAAAUAACCAUGAUGUAUUAGAAAUACAUAGCCCUUCUCCUAUAGUUAGACAUUUAGGUUGUUUCCAAUUUUUACUGCUAUAAACAAAAUCACUAUGGACAACUUUGGGGGUAAAUUUUUCUACAAAUUUUUUACUUUUUCCUUGACAUGGAUUUAUGGACCCUAGAAACAGAGUGGAGGAAUUUGGCUGAGACUUUAACUGUAAUACAUUAACUUCCUCCUCUCUUUUCUUCCUCCCUUGUUUAUUUUUCCUUCCUUUUCCAUUUGCAGAUUAUCCAAAGCCCAGAGCAAACAGAGCUCUCAUGGAGCAGUGAGCUCAGGAAAUGCACCAAGGCCCUGAGGAGUGGGCCAAGCCCUGACCCAGUGUGGCCUUCUCUGGGAAUAUCCUGGCAGGACCCUUUCCACUAAUGAACACUUGGCUUCUCCUCGCCUCUUCCCAAUCGAGCUGAGAUUCCUAGAGCCGCAUUGUGAUGGCAGCAACAUCCCUGGUGUGACCUGGAGGUGGAGAUCUCUGUUCUAAAUUCCUCCAGCUGACAAAGUAGAAUGAGCCGGUGGACUUGUUAGGAAGAGUAGCAAGGAAAGGGAAGGACACACAGUCCAUCACAUGAAGUGCUAAGGUCUGUGGUAGGGACUGGGGCCAGUUAGAACUCCAGGGUUUGCAUCCAUUGUCUGAGUCAAGUGAAGCCCACUGCAUGGGGAGUGCCACCUGAAAGACAGGUGGGUCAGCUGGCACUUUCCUGCCGCCUCACAAGUGACAGCGUCCUGGGAAGUCAAGCUGGGGCCACAGACCGGAACUGAAGGAAGUCAGUCAUGUAGUGGAACAUAAGUAAAUCUACAAAAAGGAAAGAGGAAAGGGGAAAAAAUAGGUGGGGUUCAGCACUCCAACCCCAUGGAAGCUGGGUUGCCUGGGGAUCAGGGGCAUUUUACCAAAAAAUACAGAAAAGUUCAUUCCCAGUUGCUCAGUCCAGGCCAGUUUCAUGGUUAAAGCAAGGCUCUGGUCAAAUGUUAACCACUCAGUUAUCCUGGGGGAGGGGGGAUAUAGCCCACCCCCUCAGCUGUCCCUUUUCCCAGCAUUUGGGGAAAAUGAAAGAGUAGGUAAAAUGUGCUUAUUUCCUUUCAUUCUCUAGUGUGGGCAGGGGUUCACAUAAUAGUUGGAAACCAUUUUUAACAGGAAAUCUGAGUGAAUCCAGAAGGGAUUUAUUCACAGAGCUCCCUUGCUACAAAAUGAGUAUUAUUAACCAAAACUUGACUCGUUCCCUCUUCUUUUCUCCUUGUUUAGCUGCCCCCAGCUGCCACCCACCACCGUAGUGGAAAACGAUGGUGGUGAAUAAGAUUUAAAGUUUGAGCCCAGCAGGCUGCCUCCCUAGCCAACAGAAGCCACUGAGAGGAGCUCAUGGCGAAAUGCUAUAUCGCCAUCCAAAAAAAGUCAUUCUAAUUUUCUUAGACUGCAGCUUUGAUCCCAUUUACUGAUGAUGGACUGGGAGAUAUGGUCAGAUGAGUUUGGGGGAGGAUCCAUUAAUCCAGUGUUAUUCCCAUUUAUAAUGUGGUCUUCUGCUAAGUAUUUGUGUUCUAAAAUCUGUUCCCUCUGGGGAUUCUUUCUCUCAGUCCUCUUAGAAAACUGAUGAAAAUAGAUUUGCCAUCCAUUUCCAAAGGGGGUCUUUGCUCCUCUCUGUGGGAGGCCUUUUCUGGGUGGUAGGAACGCACACCUGGCAGAGGAACCCUUUAUUACCUCUCCUCUCACAGAACACAACCCUUCCCUCCGCGAGUCCUUCUCUCUCCCUGUCGCUGAACUUGCUGGACAACCACGAUGCCUCUUUCCUCUGCUCAGGUCACCUAUAUGGAGCUGGCGAGGAUUCCUGAUGGCCGGCAGUGACAGUGGUGGAAUGUGGGGACGAAGAUGACUUCUUCCCAGCGACAGAUUUUCCUUAGCAGAGCUGUGGAGUGUGACAAUGGUGUUUGUGUCCAAACUAUCAAACGCC
Molecule: long non-coding RNA, 4585 nt
Filed under: Marmota monax (woodchuck)
Lineage: Eukaryota; Metazoa; Chordata; Mammalia; Rodentia; Sciuridae
Source: RNAcentral